GACGAACGCUGGCGGUGUGCUUAACACAUGCAAGUCGAACGGUAAGGCCCUUUCGGGGGUACACGAGUGGCGAACGGGUGAGUAACACGUGAGUAACCUGCCCUCAUCUCUGGGAUAACAGUCGGAAACGGUUGCUAAUACUGGAUAUGAGCUUGCAAGGCAUCUUGUGGGUUGGAAAGAUUUUUUUGGUUGGGGAUGGACUCGCGGCCUAUCAGCUUGUUGGUGAGGGAGUGGCUCACCAAGGCUUCGACGGGUAGCCGGCCUGAGAGGGCGACCGGCCACAUUGGGACUGAGAUACGGCCCAAACUCCUACGGGAGGCAGCAGUGGGGAAUAUUGCACAAUGGACGGAAGUCUGAUGCAGCAACGCCGCGUGCGGGAUGACGGCCUUCGGGUUGUAAACCGCUUUCAAUUGUGACGAAGCUUUUUGUGACGGUAGCAGUAGAAGAAGCACCGGCUAACUACGUG
Molecule: ribosomal RNA, 466 nt
Filed under: uncultured bacterium
Lineage: Bacteria
Description: partial 16S ribosomal RNA
Rfam family: Bacterial small subunit ribosomal RNA
Source: RNAcentral